Molecule: long non-coding RNA, 556 nt
Organism: Medicago truncatula (barrel medic)
Lineage: Eukaryota; Viridiplantae; Streptophyta; Magnoliopsida; Fabales; Fabaceae
Exons: 2
Source: RefSeq, a predicted model, not a curated record
GUGCCACAGUAUACUCUUCAUACACAACAAUUCAUUAGAUUGCAUACUGAACUUAUUUUAGUCUUACUGUCAAUUUUCUAUAUCUUAUUUCUUAUCAUGUAACCCAUUUUUGUAACAAUAAAGGAGAAUGUGACACGAAAAUAGUGAUAUGGAUAAUGAGUCAAUUACUACUUUGGUUAUAGUGCAAAACUGCAGCGCUUUGAAAUUAUUCUACUUGAUUUCUUGGCUUAGGAGGCACUCUUUUAUGAAUUGGAUGUAACCUUGAGAGGGAUAUAGAUUAAUUAGUAGUGGUUGAGUUAUGAAUAUUGUACAUAAUGUCUUGUCUCAUAUUGAAUGAAUUGGAUGUAACUUUGGGAUCAAUGGUUGUAAAAGGGAUUUAUGGUUACUAUAAUGUAAAGUUUCAUUUUGAUUUCUUUGGCUUAGGAUGCACUUUUUUAUGAAUUGGAUGUAACCUUGAUAGGGAUAUAGAUUAAUUAGAAGUGGUUGAGUUAUGAAUAUUGUUUAUGGCUACUAUAAUGUAAAGUUUCAUAUUUGAAUGAAUGGCUUUGUUUUCAAA